RNAcentral lists this long non-coding RNA (358 nucleotides) under Coturnix japonica (Japanese quail). RNAcentral's name for it is "lncRNA (ENSCJPG00005013243.1)". The record is from RNAcentral. Lineage: Eukaryota; Metazoa; Chordata; Aves; Galliformes; Phasianidae.
CCCAGACAUUUAAAUACAUUGAGCCAGGGCUGCUGCAAGCCUGGCUGAACUACUCAGUCAAAGAAGUAACACAUCUCUCCAUUAAGCUUCCCCUGAUCUUGAUCAGGCUUGCAGACUGAAAAACACGGAAGAUCAUUAUUCCCAGACACCAAUUCAAGGAGGAACUUAAACCAUAAUCACAAGGCAAACUAAAGAGAAACUUCAGCUCUGCCUCUCAAGAACUUUGUGGAAAGUGAACUUUGUUAUCAAGUGCAACCUUUUAACACAGGCUUGUGAAUUCAGAACAUGGAUGCUAGGCUGAGAGGGCUAAUCAGAAAACAUAUAAGCUCCUCAAAGAAGAAGCAUCUCUCAGUGCGCA